CGCGAUAUAGACUAAUGGUUAAGUCCCGUGACUCAUGACCACGUAAUACUAGGUUCGAAUCCAGUUAUCGCUU
RNAcentral lists this transfer RNA (73 nucleotides) under Picobiliphyte sp. MS584-11. Its description in RNAcentral is "tRNA-Met". It matches the Rfam family "tRNA". From Rfam's summary of the family: Transfer RNA (tRNA) molecules are approximately 80 nucleotides in length. The record is from RNAcentral. Lineage: Eukaryota; Picozoa.